AAAGAAGUUUGGAGUAGGGUCGUCCGUGGCUGGAAGAAGUCUGAAAGGGAUUCGGAGAAUAAUUGAUCACUGUAGAAGAUCGGCUGAUAGUGAAGCCUAGAGAGCUUUUGGAGUGGCUCGGUAGAUGAAUGGAGAAGCUCAUUGUCGGAGAAGUCCGGACGGUAUUAUGGAAGAUCAGACGGUCGAGGGGGUUCAGAGAGAUGCCACAC
Molecule: long non-coding RNA, 209 nt
Filed under: Elaeis guineensis (African oil palm)
Lineage: Eukaryota; Viridiplantae; Streptophyta; Magnoliopsida; Arecales; Arecaceae
Description: long non-coding RNA (EGUI_LNC061493)
Source: RNAcentral